AGAGUUUGAUCUUGGCUCAGGACGAACGCUGGCGGCGCGCCUAACACAUGCAAGUCGGACGAGCGAGAGAGAGCUUGCUUUCUCGAGCGAGUGGCGAACGGGUGAGUAACGCGUGAGGAACCUGCCUCAAAGAGGGGGACAACAGUUGGAAACGACUGCUAAUACCGCAUAAGCCCACGGCUCGGCAUCGAGCAGAGGGAAAAGGAGCAAUCCGCUUUGAGAUGGCCUCGCGUCCGAUUAGCUAGUUGGUGAGGUAACGGCCACCAAGGCAACGAUCGGUAGCCGGACUGAGAGGUUGAACGGCCACAUUGGGACUGAGACACGGCCCAGACUCCUACGGGAGGCA
Molecule: ribosomal RNA, 346 nt
Filed under: uncultured bacterium
Lineage: Bacteria
Description: bacterial SSU rRNA
Rfam family: Bacterial small subunit ribosomal RNA
Source: RNAcentral